CCAAGGAGUCUAGCAUGUGUGCGAGUCAUUGAGAUUUAUAAAACUGAAAGGCGCAACGAAAGUGAAGGCGUCGCGCUCACCGAGCGCGCGCUCGGGGAGGAUGGAGGUCGAUCUCGCGUCGGCCCCCCGCACUCCCGAGGCGUCUCGUUCGCAAUCUGUCGAUGCAGGCGCGCUCAGAGCACAAAUGCUGGGACCCGAAAGAUGGUGAACUAUGCCUGGUCAGGUCGAAGUCAGGGGAAACCCUGAUGGAGGACCGUAGCGAUUCUGACGUGCAAAUCGAUCGUCGGAACUGGGUAUAGGGGCGAAAGACUAAUCGAACCAUC
This 323-nucleotide ribosomal RNA is filed under the name Heliozelidae sp. HibbertiaAusWA. RNAcentral describes it as "eukaryotic LSU rRNA". It matches the Rfam family "Eukaryotic large subunit ribosomal RNA", at positions 666 to 944 of the family's 3401-position model. Lineage: Eukaryota; Metazoa; Arthropoda; Insecta; Lepidoptera; Heliozelidae. The record is from RNAcentral.